GCUGACACAUUCCAGCCAAUCAGCAGCAGACCCUCCCUCCCAGACCCUCCCACCUCCUGGACAGCUCACUAAGAAUGCAGCUUCAAAAUGGAUGCUGUCCAGGAGUUGGGAGGGUCUGGGAGGGAGGGUCUGCUGCUGAUUGGCUGGAAUGUGUCAG
Pelobates cultripes (western spadefoot toad) is the source of this 157-nucleotide non-coding RNA. The record is from the annotation of a GenBank genome assembly. Lineage: Eukaryota; Metazoa; Chordata; Amphibia; Anura; Pelobatidae.